Molecule: ribosomal RNA, 1299 nt
Filed under: metagenome
Description: bacterial SSU rRNA
Rfam family: Bacterial small subunit ribosomal RNA
Source: RNAcentral
AGAGUUUGAUCCUGGCUCAGGACGAACGCUGGCGGCGCGCCUAACACAUGCAAGUCGAACGAGAGAGAGGGAGCUUGCUUCCUCGAUCGAGUGGCGAACGGGUGAGUAACGCGUGAGGAACCUGCCUCAAAGAGGGGGACAACAGUUGGAAACGACUGCUAAUACCGCAUAAGCCCACGGCUCGGCAUCGAGCAGAGGGAAAAGGAGCAAUCCGCUUUGAGAUGGCCUCGCGUCCGAUUAGCUGUUGGUGAGGUAAUGGCCCACCAAGGCGACGAUCGGUAGCCGGACUGAGAGGUUGAACGGCCACAUUGGGACUGAGACACGGCCCAGACUCCUACGGGAGGCAGCAGUGGGGAAUAUUGCACAAUGGGGGAAACCCUGAUGCAGCGACGCCGCGUGGAGGAAGAAGGUCUUCGGAUUGUAAACUCCUGUUGUUGAGGAAGAUAAUGACGGUUCUCAACAAGGAAGUGACGGCUAACUACGUGCCAGCAGCCGCGGUAAAACGUAGGUCACAAGCGUUGUCCGGAAUUACUGGGUGUAAAGGGAGCGCAGGCGGGCGAUCAAGUUGGAAGUGAAAUCCAUGGGCUCAACCCAUGAACUGCUUUCAAAACUGAUUGUCUUGAGUAGUGCAGAGGUAGGCGGAAUUCCCGGUGUAGCGGUGGAAUGCGUAGAUAUCGGGAGGAACACCAGUGGCGAAGGCGGCCUACUGGGCACCAACUGACGCUGAGGCUCGAAAGUGUGGGUAGCAAACAGGAUUAGAUACCCUGGUAGUCCACACCGUAAACGAUGAUUACUAGGUGUUGGAGGAUUGACCCCUUCAGUGCCGCAGUUAACACAAUAAGUAAUCCACCUGGGGAGUACGACCGCAAGGUUGAAACUCAAAGGAAUUGACGGGGGCCCGCACAAGCAGUGGAGUAAGUGGUUUAAUUCGACGCAACGCGAAGAACCUUACCAAGUCUUGACAUCCUGCGACGGACAUAGAAAUAUGUUUUUCCUUCGGGACGCAGAGACAGGUGGUGCAUGGUUGUCGUCAGCUCGUGUCGUGAGAUGUUGGGUUAAGUCCCGCAACGAGCGCAACCCUUAUGGUCAGUUACUACGCAAGAGGACUCUGGCCAGACUGCCGUUGACAAAACGGAGGAAGGUGGGGAUGACGUCAAAUCAUCAUGCCCUUUAUGACUUGGGCUACACACGUACUACAAUGGCGUUAAACAAAGAGAAGCAAGACCGCGAGGUGGAGCAAAACUCAGAAACAACGUCCCAGUUCGGACUGCAGGCUGCAACUCGCCUGCACGAAGUCGG